CGCGACUGAGGGGAGUCGGAGUGCGCGUGGGUAAGAGAGGCGGUUUGGGUGAGCGAACGGUUGAAGGCCCCCCCCCCCCCCCCCCCAGCGGAGGCGCGUGGGUCGGCGGCGCGCGCCCGCUGCGCCUGUAGCUCGCCUCGCGCUCGGGAGGGGCUGAGGGGGUUGGCGCGGGCGCGCGCACGCUCCCGGCCGCCCGAGAUUCCCCGGCGUCCGCCCCUCUGAGGGGGUGGGGGUGGGGGAGGGGGAGGAGCGCGCCCACGCCAACGGCGACUGUGGCGACGACGACGACGACGACGGAGGAGGAGGAGGAGGCCGCCGCCGUUCCGUUCUCCUCAACUCGAUUCUCCCUCAGCCCCCGGAGCGUCCCGGGCCCCCAGGCCGCAGCCGGGCGGCUUCGGCGGCGGGGAAUUUAUUGGGUAGCGUGUGUAAAACCGGCAACUGGUCAAGCAGUAAGAGGAAGUCGGCGCUCCAGAGGUGACCAUCUUUGCUGAGAGUUCGGCCAGUGGUGAUGCAGAGCUGCCAGGCUUUGGGGAAGGCCCGAAAAGUCCUUUUCUUAGACCUGUAAUCCCAGUAGUUCACAGACCUAAUGAAUCCAAGCACCUCAGUUUGGGUCAAAUAAACACAGUAAGGGACUUUCUGGAUAUUUUGCUCAUCGAGUCAUUUGAAUUAGCUAGUUUUCUGGGAGGUGGAAAGUUCACAUUUUCCAAAAAAUGCCUCAAGUGGGUGUCAGUUGCUAACUCGCCUGAGCCACAUGUGAUCUAGUGAAUAGAGCAAGGGCCUGGGAGUUGGAAGGACCUGAGUUCUAAUCCCGGCUCCGCCACUUGUCUCCUCUGUGACCUUGGGCAAGUCACUUCACUGGGCCUCAGUUUCCUCAUCUGUAAAAUGAGGAUUAAGACUGUGAGCCCUGUGUAGGACAGGGACUGCAUCCGACCAGAUUACCUGGUAUCAAUCCUAGCGCUUAGCGCAAUGCCUGGCUCAUAAGUGCUUAAUAAAUUAUUAUUAAGCCUUUCAUUUUAGGAUGAGGGAUUGGAGAAAGUCAAUGGGUCUGAGUCUGCAGUGGAAACCCUGCCAGCUGCUGAUUUUUGAGUGGGGAUGCUAACUGGGUGUCAAGUAGACUAAUGAGUUGUCCCCUGGGGAUCACUUUCUGCUGAUUCAUUGUAAACAACUAUUUAUAAGGGGCUAAGACAGGAAUGGAUGCGAAGCUACUUUACCAUGAAGAUGCAGAAAAGCAGCAUGGACUAGUGGAAAGAGCACGGGCCUGAGAGAGGACCUGGGUUCUAAUCCUGACUCCAUCACUGUCUGUUGUGUGACCGUGGGCAAAUCACUUCACUUCUCUGUGUCUCAGUUCCCUCAUCUGUAAAAUGGGGAUUGAGACCGGGAGUCCCGUGUGAGACGGACCGUGUCUAACCUGAUUUGCUUGUAUCCACCCUAGUGCUUAGUACAGUGCCUGGCACACAGUACACACAUUUUACAGGUGAGGUAACUGAGGCUCAGAGAAGUUAAGCGACUUGGUGAAGGUCACCCAGCAGACAAGUGACGAAGCCAGGAGUAGAGCCCAUCCUCUAUCCACUAGGCCAUGCUGCUUUUCUGGUUGGCAACAAAGCUGGGCUUCCCCUUGUUGUUGAAACCAGUCUGUCAAUUAAUUACUUCCCCAGGACCUACCUAAAUUGCAACAACGAGUAGAGUGAACUAGUUGAAAGUUGGACUAGAUUAAAGUAGUGAUGCUGGUAAAUAGUGAGAAGAGACAGCUGGAUGAGGUCAUAAGGAUUAUCUGCCCUCUGCCCUGAAGGAGAGCCUGUAGAACCUCCAGAGCAGGAGGGAUGGAGAACUCUCAACUCUCCACCAUUUUACAACCUCUUUGAGCCAAUGUCCUUCAGUAAGCUUAUCUCCUGGAGUCAGCUGAAACAGCCUGCCCCACUAUUGGGCUUGGUGUCCCAGGCUAAAAACCCAACUUCCUGGUGCUCUCUGCUUCUUGGACUUAUCGGGGUCCCAGAACAGGGCUGCCGUUGAUAGUUUGUCUGGAGCCAAGGCAGCAUGGCAUAGUGGAUAGCACGGGCCUGGUAGAAGGCCAUAGGUCUGCUACCUGUCUGCUGUGUGGCCUUUGUCAAGUGACUUUGCUUCUCUGGGCCUCAGUUACCUCAUCUGUGAAAUGAGGAUUAAGACUGCGAGUCUCUUGCGGGGUCCCUUGCGAGAAAGGGACCAAUUGUGUCCAACCCAGAUUUGCCUGUAUCCACCUUGGGGCUUAGUACAGUGUCUGGCACAUAGCACUUAAAUACCACAAUCACUAUUAUUAUUAAUGGUGUUUUUUCCAAGCGGGGAGAAAAGGGAGUGUUGGAGUAAUUUGGAAUAUGGUAUUUGUUAGGUGCUUACUGUGUGCCAAGCUCUAUCCUAAGUGCUAGGGUAGAUACAGGCUUGCCUGGUUAGGCACAGUCCCUGUCCCACAUAUGCCUAACAGUCUGAGGUGGAGGUAUUGAAUUCCCAUUUUACAGAUGGGGAAACUCAGGCCAGAGAAGUGAAGUGACUUGCCCAAGAUCAUGCAACAAGCAAGUGGCAGAACCGGGAUUAGGAUCAUGGUCCUGUGAGCCCCAAACCCAGACUCUUUCCACUAGGAAAUUAGAAGCUCCUUGAGAGCAGGAAUCAUGUCUCGUGUCAUUGUUUUAAGCUCCCCAAACGCUUAGCCUAGUGCUGUGCACCUAGAAGGUGCUUAAUAAAUGCCGCCGAUUGAUACGGUUAGGAAAGUCGAGAGUGCUGUGUGGGAGUGGAGUGUGACUCUGGUUAGGUGACUUCCCGUGUGAAUUGUAGUGUUCGAGGAGAGCAACCAGCAACCCCUCCUCCUGAUAAAAUGUUGUGGGCCAGGAGCGUGUCUGCCAACCUUAUUGUAUCGUGCUCUCCCAGGUGCUUCAUACAUUGCUCUGUACACAUAGUAAGUGCUCCAAAAAGUACUGUGGAUUGAUAAUACGUUUGUCACUGCCUCUCCAACGCUGAAAGGCUCCAGCCGGUGUUUUUCCUGCUGGUUCAGCCCGGCAUUUGUCUCGUUCAAAUGAUCCAGCCCUUCUCUUAUUUCAGCCUGCCAGAGGGGUCCCAGUCCCCUCAGCUGUCU
This 3100-nucleotide long non-coding RNA is filed under the name Ornithorhynchus anatinus (platypus). RNAcentral's name for it is "lncRNA (ENSOANG00000045367.1)". Lineage: Eukaryota; Metazoa; Chordata; Mammalia; Monotremata; Ornithorhynchidae. The record is from RNAcentral.